GGGAAAGAUUAAACCCUAGUACCCAACCUUUGAGAAAUUAGAGCUUCUUCUUUUCAUCUUGCUGUGACGGUUUUUCUGAUUUUUAUCCCCCAAAAUGGGAAUUAAGGGUUUAACGAAGCUAUUGGCGGACAAUGCGCCAAGGGGAAUGAAAGAGCAGAAAUUUGAGAGCUAUUUUGGCCGUAAAAUAGCCAUCGACGCUAGUAUGAGCAUUUACCAGUUCCUGAUUGUGGUAGGACGAAGCGGUACGGAAAUGCUCACGAAUGAAGCUGGGGAAACUACUAGUCAUUUGGUUGGGAUGUUUUCCCGGACAAUUAGGCUUUUGGAAGCUGGAAUCAAGCCAGUUUAUGUUUUUGAUGGGAAACCCCCAGAUCUGAAGAAACAAGAACUUGCAAAACGUUACUCUAGAAGGGAAGAUGCCACAGAUGAUUUGGCUAAGGCUACAGAGAUUGGCAACAAGGAGGAUAUUGAGAAAUUCAGCAAGAGAACCGUAAAGGUUACACCCCAACACAAUGAUGACUGCAAGAAACUUCUUAGACUGAUGGGUGUACCUGUUGUUGAGGCUCCUUCUGAAGCAGAGGCUCAGUGUGCUGCACUUUGCAAGGCCGAAAAGGUCUAUGCUGUAGCCUCAGAAGAUAUGGAUUCCUUAACUUUUGGAGCUUCAAGGUUUCUUCGCCAUUUAAUGGAUCCUAGCUCCAAAAAGAUUCCAGUGAUGGAAUUUGAUAUCUCCCAGAUAUUAGAGGAGCUCGAACUUAGUAUGGAUCAGUUCAUUGACUUGUGCAUUCUCUGUGGAUGUGAUUACUGUGAUAGCAUCCGAGGCAUAGGGCCCCAGACUGCUUUGAAGCUUGUACGCCAACAUGGGUCAAUGGAGAGCAUAUUGGAGAAUAUUAACAAAGAGAGAUAUCAAAUACCUGAUGAUUGGCCAUAUGAAGAGGCUAGACGGCUCUUCAAGGAACCAUUAGUUACAGAUGAUGAGCAAACUGAACUAAAAUGGGCUGCUCCUGAUGAAGAAGGAUUGAUUAACUUUCUGGUGAAGGAAAAUGGAUUCAACAUUGAUAGAGUUACAAAGGCAGUAGAAAAGAUCAAGACAGCCAAGACCAAGUCUUCUCAGGGACGGCUAGAAUCAUUCUUUAAACCAGUUAGCACAUCUGCUCCAGUUAAAAGAAAGGAAACAGCUGAGACUACUGAGAAAGGAGCUGCUAACAAGAAAUCAAAGGCUGGUGGUGGUAAGAAGAAGAAGUAGUUAGCAUCAAGUUAAAGCUUGCAGUAAAGUGAUGGUUUCUUACCUUGUCAGAAUCAGUGGCGGAGGCAGGAUUACCACCAAAGGGGUUCAAAAAAAAGGAAAAAAGUUCAAAAGGUCAUGGCUGGUGGGAAUAGAACCGAGGACCUUACAAAGGUUUUGAAUCCCCUUGACUACUAAGCUAUGCUUUUGGGUUGUGUCAAGGGGAUUCAAAACAUAAUAUAUAAAGGUAAAAAACAGAUUUUGCCUUACAUAUACAGUGUAAUAUUUCGGCGAAGGGGGUUCGGGUGAACAUCCUUCCGCCACCCUAAAUCCGCCCCUGCGCAGAAUCCGUUAACUACAGGAACCAAAAACCAUUGCAGAAAGAUGUGGGAGUCGAUGAAUAGUAUAGCCCCGACUUGAAAAGAUUGCCCUUGGAGAUACUAUCACAUUGCCCGUAACAAAACACCAACUUAAAUAGCAAAAAUCUUAAAUUCUUUUUCCA
Non-coding RNA from Nicotiana tabacum (common tobacco), 1721 nucleotides. The record is from RefSeq and is a predicted model, not a curated record. Lineage: Eukaryota; Viridiplantae; Streptophyta; Magnoliopsida; Solanales; Solanaceae.